UGAUCCUACGGGGAGGCAGCAGUGAGGAAUAUUGGGCAAUGGGCGCAAGUCUGACCCAGCCAUGCCGCGUGCAGGAAGAAUGCCCUAUGGGUUGUAAACUGCUUUUAUACGGGAAGAAACCCCCUCUCGUGAGAGGGGCUGACGGUACCGUAUGAAUAAGCACCGGCUAACUCCGUGCCAGCAGCCGCGGUAAUACGGAGGGUGCAAGCGUUAUCCGGAUUUAUUGGGUUUAAAGGGUCCGUAGGCGGAAUGCUAAGUCAGUGGUGAAAUCCUGCAGCUCAACUGUAGAAUUGCCAUUGAUACUGGUUUUCUUGAAUAUGUACGAAGUGGGCGGAAUAUGACAUGUAGCGGUGAAAUGCUUAGAUAUGUCAUAGAACACCAAUUGCGAAGGCAGCUCACUAGUCCAUUAUUGACGCUGAUGCACGAAAGCGUGGGGAUCAAACAGGAUUAGAUACCCUGGUAGUCCACGCAGUAAACGAUGAUCACUCGUCAUUGGCGAUAUACUGUCAGUGACCAAGCGAAAGUGAUUAGUAUCCACCUGG
This 542-nucleotide ribosomal RNA is filed under the name uncultured bacterium. RNAcentral's name for it is "bacterial SSU rRNA". It matches the Rfam family "Bacterial small subunit ribosomal RNA", at positions 333 to 876 of the family's 1533-position model. The record is from RNAcentral.